CCGCCGCCUGGCCGCCGCCCCGCCGCCGGACACCCCUGAAUUGCUGCGAAGGAUCUGGACAGCUGUAGCUGUUACGACUGCAAGGCCGCCAACAAAUAGCAAGAUGGAAAAGUCGUCAAAGAUUGUGGCAAAAUGGGAUUCAUUUGCCGCGAAAGCUUUCAAUGACAUUUGUGUGGAAGAAGUACUUGCUUUCAAUCGACCGCAGCAAUGUUUGAAUGCGGUGGGAUAUGCAAACCUUAUUAGAAAGUUUUAUGAGCGUACCAAGAGGCCAUACGGUGAGAGUCAAAUGAAGAAUAGGUGGGAUAUAUUGAAUCUAUCAUGAGAUUAGCUGUUGACAUUGUGAGGCCUAAGGAUCUGCAAUUUUCUACUAUUCAUCCUAAACUACAAGAAGCAAGGUUUUGGCCUCAUUUCAAAGAUUGCAUAGGAGCAAUUGAUGGUACCCAUAUACCCGUAACUGUGCCAUUAGCUGAUCAACCGAAAUACAUUGGUCGGCAUGGGUAUCCUUCACAAAACGUCAUGGCGGUUUGUGACUUUGAUAUGCGGUUCACAUUUGCUGUCACUGGUUGGCCUAGUUCUGUCCAUGAUACUCGUGUAUUAUUGGACACGCUUGUCACAUACAAGGAUCAAUUUCCACAUCCUCCCGAUGGUAAGUACUAUCUUGUUGACUCUGGAUAUCCUAAUAGAAAAGGAUUUCUUGCACCCUACAAGGGACAGAGGUAUCAUGUUUCCGAAUGGCAGCAUGGUCAGCAUCCGGUAGGAUUGAAAGAAGUGUUUAAUCAUGCACAUUCAUCCCUUAGAAAUGUGAUUGAGCGAUCAUUUGGAGUUCUAAAGAUGAAGUGGCGCAUUCUCUUGAAUUUGCCCAGUUAUCCGAUUAACAAGCAGUCGAAAAUUAUAGUUGCUUGUAUGGCCCUUCACAAUUUCAUCAGAGAUAGUGCCGUACAUGACGUGCAUUUUGAAGAGGAUUUUCAGGAAGAUGAUGGUAAUUCAACCCAACCUAGCACAGAUGGUGGUGGUGGUGCUUUAGGAGAUGACA
Setaria italica (foxtail millet) is the source of this 1033-nucleotide long non-coding RNA. RefSeq lists it as uncharacterized. The transcript is spliced from 4 exons. Lineage: Eukaryota; Viridiplantae; Streptophyta; Magnoliopsida; Poales; Poaceae. The record is from RefSeq and is a predicted model, not a curated record.